CUCCGUAUUUCUAAGCAUAGCCAUUUCUGCUAUAACGUUGAAUGUCUUACAAAAAAGCCUAAAAAUAAGAGUUAGGAGAAAACCAGGAUUAAAGACAGACCCCUAGAAACCUAAGGAGGGUACAAGGUAGAGCAUCCACUAAAACCAUAGCAAACCCACGAGGAAGAGUCUCAAGGCUACAGCUCUGGUGGCAUUUGUAUCCAGGCUAACCUUCCUGGGUCAUCAAAGUUUCAUACCCUGAAGCACAUACUCUCCUCCAAAAUGUCGAUACUCAAGGGUAUCUGCUUCUAAAAGAGACCAGUUUCAUCGAAAUUAAAUGUCUUUCCCCAGGUGUAGACUUCAUCACCAACCUUUUCCUGUCUUGACAGAGAGAUCUUUGCAACCUCUUCAUCUCUAACUCCUCAGCAUCCACAUACACCUUAAGCUACUGGAAAUUGUAAUGAUUCCUACAGCCACUAAAAUGUCACAGUUUGCUCCAAAGGGACUCAUUUCUGUAGGAUUUUCUAGCUUAAUGCCUUUUUAAGUCGUUGUACGGUGCUAAUGCUCUCGUCUUACAUUGUGAAAAAAAUUGCGAUUGGUAGUUUCAAAGUAGCUCCUGAAAGACAUCAGGCAGGAACCAAUGUGAUCUCCACGUGUAUGCCCAGCAAAUAUGGAUAAACUAAUUCCUGUAGGACACAGGUAUUGCGGCUGAAUAGACUGUCCACGAUUUGAUUUUUGACCUUGGAUAUUAUCUAUUGAUGUCCUACCAUGAGAGAGAAAAUGCUGUGGCCAGCCCCACCUCCAAUAAACUUUCAUUACCCCAUCACCAUCAUCCAAUAUCAUUUUAGCAGCUAUUUUGGAUAAGCCCCUAUCCAGAAUUUAUAGUAUUAUAUAUAUGCACAUUUUAUCGCUCAUGGUUCUAUGUCAUGCCUUGGCAACAUUUCCUCUUGUAUACAGCUAACACUUUCAGGACUUAAAAAUUGCUUUCUGUUUCUUCUUGUUUUUUUUUUGGGGGGGGCAUGUGAAGUUAUAUGAUUUUUAUUUAUUGAAUGAUAGUUUAUUUACAAUAUCUUAUUAGUUUUAGGUGUACAGCACAGUGAUUAAGACAGUAGUAGGUAUAUGUUAAUCCCAAACUCCUAAAUUAGUCUUCCCCCUUUGGUAACCUUAAGUAUGUGUUCUAUGUCUGUGGAUCUAUUUGUGUUUUGUAAGUAAGUUCAUUUUCAUCUUUUUGUAAAAAUUUAUCAUGUAAAUUGUAUCAUUUGAUGUUUUUUUCCCUGUCUGACUUACUUCACCUAAUAUGAUAAUUUCUAGGUCCAUCAAGAUUGCUGCCGAUGUCAUUACUUCAUUCUUUUUUAAGGCUGAAUAAUAUUCCAGUGCAUAUAUAUGUACAGCAUCUUCUUUAUCCAUGGACACUUAGGUUGAUUCCAUAUCUUGGCUACUGUAAACAGUGCUGAUAUGAACACUGGGAUGCAUGCCCCUUUAUAGUUUAAAAGCAGCUUUGUUUCUUAUUUUGUAUUAUUUUUGUUUAAACCAGAACUAUGAAUUAAACACCAAACAUUAUGUGAAAAGGGAAGACACUCUGUGUUUCUCCUUGCUACUAUUCCGCUACUCACAGCCCUUCACUUCUGACUCCAACCAUGCAGUUCUCCAACUCUCCAGACACCACCCAGAUGGCCUAAAAUUUGACUCCAUUCUGAGUCUGUCCUCCUGGAGGUAGCAUCAGAUCAUUGGAUCAUCAAAUCUCAGAAGUUAAGGGCUAGUCCCAUAAGACUGCCCUCUCGCUAAUUCCAGACACCAAUUCCAAGUCCAGGUUUUCACCUGUGCUCCCAACCAACUGUCCAAAAACAUUAGGGUAAAUUCUCUCAUAUAUUUUCUUCCUAUUCUUACAAGCUACCAAGUUCUAGAUGGUAUAUACUUUACACUCUUUAUAUUUUAUUUAUUUUAUCUUACAGGCUUUUAUUUUAUUUUUUCUUUCCUAAUGAUUAUUGUCUAAAAUAUUCCAGGUACCACAUAACCAUAUAAGUUUGUUCUAUUAUUUAAUCUUCAAAACUAGCCUACAAAAUAGAAAAAAAAUUAAGCAAUGAGAUCCUGCUGUAUAGCACAGGAAAUUAUAUCUAGUCACUUGUGAUGGAAUGUGAUGGAGGAUAAUGUGAGAAAAAGAAUAUGUAUAUAUAUAUGUAUGACUGGGUCACUUUGCUGUACAGUAGAAAUUGACAGAACACUGUACAUCAACUAUAAUGGAAAAAUAAAAAUCAUAAAAAAAUGAGGUUUUCUCUAAGGCAAGUCAGGAAGUCAAAUACCUCUUAACAGUAUCUGGGGGGGCUCAAAACCAUGGUCUAUCUGCCACCCUUUCCCCUUUUAAUAUUUGGAGGACAAAAAUGAAGUCUUUUUUAAGCCUUAGUUCAUGCAUGUGUAAAAUUACAAGUAUGGAUUAGAAUUUGAUUUUAAAAAGUUCCAAUGCUAAUUUAAUCAGAAACAAAAAUAGAUAGCAUUAAUCAAUACUAAGAUUUUUUUUUUUAUGCAUGCCCUCUAACUUUCAUAAGAACACUUAAUGGAAGGUAUUAUUAUUCCUCUUAUACAGAAGAGUUUAUUUCUGAGGCCCCCUGUAGUUCCAACAUUGCCUAGUUUAUACGAAAUACAAAAAGUGAGUACUUAAGACACUGUAGUAUACACAGAGCAUAUAUCAAAUUAUAAGUCCUACAAAUGGUUAAGAAGGGAAUAGAUGGAUGCUCAUUGUGAAGGCUUCUGUAAGGAAAAGGAAUUAGGAAUGGGAAACUUGUAUACACAAGAAUGUAUCAGAUGAGACAUAAAGACACAAUUUUUCAACAUAAUAUCUACAUAUAGCUAAUUAAUGUUUGCUCAGGGGAGACGGUCCUCAAGAUUAAUGUCAUUUUCAAGAUUAGCUCACCACUUAGCUAUGCUGUUCCAGCUACUGUGUCUCCCUGUUCAGGUUUGCUUUAAAGGAAUUCAGUGCAGUGCAGGUUUUAAUGCCCAGUCCUUCCUAGAAACCUCCUGCUAGUUCUGUAUUCAUUCCCACUGUGUGAUCCAUUUUGUGAUUAGUCUGGUAGUUAGCACACCAUCUGAAGUGCUGGUCUGAGACAUGAAAUUUCUUUUUGUAGCACCUCAUCAGGUACUGAGGAUACAUCUACAGGGAAGAAUUAAUUAUCUCUGCAACCAAUGCCACG
Molecule: long non-coding RNA, 3164 nt
Filed under: Sus scrofa (pig)
Lineage: Eukaryota; Metazoa; Chordata; Mammalia; Artiodactyla; Suidae
Description: lncRNA (ENSSSCG00000051936.1)
Source: RNAcentral